GACGAACGCUGGCGGCGUGCUUAACACAUGCAAGUUGCGCGAGAAAGCUGCCUUCGGGCAGUAAGUAAAGCGGCGAACGGGUGAGUAACGCGUGGGUUACCUGCCUCUAAGUUAGGGAUAACUUUGCGAAAGUAAAGCUAAUACCUAAUAUCAAAAGAUGGCUCUGCUAUCGCUUAGAGAUGGGCCCGCGUCCCAUUAGCUUGUUGGUAGUGUAAGAGACUACCAAAGCAACAAUGGGUAGCCGACCUGAGAGGGUGAUCGGCCACACUGGGACUGAGACACGGCCCAGACUCCUACGGGAGGCUGCAGUGGGGAAUCUUCCGCAAUGAGCGAAAGCUUGACGGAGCAACGCCGCGUGAGUGAUGAAGGCCUUCGGGUCGUAAAGCUCUGUCCUAAGGGAAGAACAUCCCGGUAGAUAAGAUCUGCUGGGCUUGACGGUACCUUUGGAGGAAGCCUCGGCUAAUUACGUGCCAGCAGCCGCGGUAAUACGUAAGAGGCAAGCGUUGUCCGGAAUCACUGGGCGUGAAGGGUGCGCAGGCGGUCUAGUAAGCCAAAAGUGAAAUCCAUCGGCUCAACCGGUGAACUGCUUUUGAAACUAUUAGACUUGAGGACAGAAGAAGAGAGUGGAAUUCCUGGUGUAGUGGUGAAAUACGUAGAUAUCAGGAAGAAUACCAAUGGCGAAAGCAGCUCUCUAAUCUGAUUCUGACGCUGAGGUACGAAAGCUAGGGUAUCAAACGGGAUUAGAUACCCCGGUAGUCCUAGCUGUAAACGCUGGACACUAGGUGUUGGGGGUUCAACUCCCUCAGUACUGCAGUUAACGCGUUAAGUGUCCCGCCUGGGGAUUACGACCGCAAGGUUGAAACUCAAAGGAAUUGACGGGGGCCCGCACAAGCGGUGGAGCAUGUGGCUCAAUUCGAUGCAACGCGAAGAACCUUACCUAGGCUCGAACGCUAGAGGACCGCUCCUGAAAGGGAGCUUCCCCUUUGGGGCCUCUAGCGAGGUACUGCAUGGCUGUCGUCAGCUCGUGUCGUGAGAUGUUGGGUUAAGUCCCGCAACGAGCGUAACCCCUGUUGCUAGUUACCAUCGGGUAGUGCCGGGGACUCUAGCGAAACUGCCUGCGCAAGCAGUGAGGAAGGUGGGGAUGACGUCAAGUCAUCAUGGUCCUUACGCCUAGGGCUGCACACGUGCUACGAAUGGCCGGUACAACGGGUAGCCGACCUCGCGAGAGGGAGCGAAUCCUUAAAAACCGGUCCCGGUUCGGAUUGGAGUCUGCGAACUGAACUCCUUGAAAGCUGAAAAUCGCUAGUUAAUCGCGGAUCGGCGAAUGCCGCGGUGGAUCCGUUUCCCGGGCCUUGUACGCGCCGCCCGUCGAAGCCGUGAAGGCUGGAGGGCCCGAAAGUCCGUGAACUCGGACUCCGGUCUUGCGUCGAAGAGAGAGCGGCCGAAGGUGAGUUCGGUGACUGGGGCGU
Molecule: ribosomal RNA, 1469 nt
Filed under: uncultured bacterium
Lineage: Bacteria
Description: bacterial SSU rRNA
Rfam family: Bacterial small subunit ribosomal RNA
Source: RNAcentral